UCCAUCGUGAGGUGGAGUCUGCAGGAAGCCUAAUACAAAAUCUCGGUCUGACGAACAGAUGUACAUGUUAACUUAAAAGUACCCCAC
Natranaerobius trueperi is the source of this 87-nucleotide non-coding RNA. The record is from Rfam. NCBI's taxonomy places the organism in Bacteria, Bacillati, Bacillota, Clostridia, Natranaerobiales, Natranaerobiaceae.